AACGAACGCUGGCGGCAGGCCUAACACAUGCAAGUCGAACGAUAAGCCACCUUCGGGUGGUGGAAAGUGGCGCACGGGUGAGUAACGCGUGGGAACCUACCCAGGGGUACGGAAUAACUCAGGGAAACUUGAGCUAAUACCGUAUACACCUUACGAGGGAAAGAUUUAUCGCCCCUGGACGGGCCCGCGUCGGAUUAGCUAGUUGGUGAGGUAAUGGCUCACCAAGGCUACGAUCCGUAGCUGGUCUGAGAGGAUGAUCAGCCACACUGGAACUGAGACACGGUCCAGACUCCUACGGGAGGCAGCAGUGGGGAAUAUUGGGCAAUGGGCGCAAGCCUGACCCAGCCAUGCCGCGUGGGUGAAGAAGGUCUUAGGAUUGUAAAGCCUUUCAGCAGGGAAGAUGAUGACGGUACCUGCAGAAGAAGCCCCGGCUAACUCCGUG
This 442-nucleotide ribosomal RNA is filed under the name uncultured bacterium. RNAcentral describes it as "bacterial SSU rRNA". It matches the Rfam family "Bacterial small subunit ribosomal RNA", at positions 29 to 507 of the family's 1533-position model. The record is from RNAcentral.